Molecule: long non-coding RNA, 956 nt
Organism: Hemibagrus wyckioides
Lineage: Eukaryota; Metazoa; Chordata; Actinopteri; Siluriformes; Bagridae
Exons: 3
Source: RefSeq, a predicted model, not a curated record
CCCGAUAGAACACCUUUGGGAUGAAUUAGAGCGGAGACUAAGAGCCAGGCCUUCUCGUCCAACAUCAGUGUGUGACCUCACAAAUGCGCUUCUGGAAGAAUGGUCAAAAAUUCCCAUAAACACACUCCUAAACCUUGUGGACAGCCUUCCCAGAAGAGUUGAAGCUGUUAUAGCUGCAAAGGGUGGAUCGACGUCAUAUUGAACCCUAUGGAUUAGGAAUGGGAUGUCACUUAAGUUCAUAUGCGAGUAUAGGCAGGUGAGCGAAUACUUUUGGCAAUAUAGUGUAUUUAAACUCCUGAGCGGUUAUGGACUUGGAGGAAACAACGUGCUGCCUGCUGUGAUGACCAGGAACAUGGUGAGAUUCUAAACUCUUUAAACUCCAAAAUUGUAUUGUAAUUUUUUGUUUGGCAUUUUUGUUUUUUGGGCAGUGGCAGUAAAAACACAGUGGAGAGAGAUGGGAUGAUUUGCAGCAAAGGGCCUGAGCUGGAACUGAAGCUUGACUGCCUGAAGAACAGUACAGUAUGUGGUACAAGUUCUACCAGUUGUUCUUGAAAUACACCUCAUCAAUCUCUUUCCUGUUCUACAAAUCAUCCCUUUUGAUCAGAUGCUGGUCUUGUCCAGGAUAAAUAUUGAGAGGAUCAGAUCAGCCCAUCGUGGACAACAUGCAAGUCCUCAUGCUGAACUAGUGACAGUACAUGCUGUAGCUUCCAGUUUCUCGAACAUCAUGUCCAAGUCUAUCCCAUAUCUUCACACAAGUCUGGACUCAGUGACCUAUUCCUCUUGUUCAACCAGGGCAAGUAAGCCCUGAUACAUAAUGUUAUUUCACCAUGGAUUAUCCAUCAUAUGGACAUGUGCUGUUUCUUCAAGAUUUCAUUACUAAUUUGUGUGUAUUGGACAAGGUAUUUGAUCAAUUCAAACUGUUCUUAACACUGAAUAUGUACAUGUGUUUUCUUGCU